RNAcentral lists this ribosomal RNA (483 nucleotides) under uncultured bacterium. RNAcentral's name for it is "partial 16S ribosomal RNA". It matches the Rfam family "Bacterial small subunit ribosomal RNA", at positions 30 to 507 of the family's 1533-position model. The record is from RNAcentral.
UUGCACGCUGGCGGCAGGCCUAACACAUGCACGUCGAGCGGAUGAAGGGAGCUUGCUCCUGGAUUCAGCGGCGGACGGGUGAGUAAUGCCUAGGAAUCUGCCUGGUAGUGGGGGAUAACGUCCGGAAACGGGCGCUAAUACCGCAUACGUCCUGAGGGAGAAAGUGGGGGAUCUUCGGACCUCACGCUAUCAGAUGAGCCUAGGUCGGAUUAGCUAGUUGGUGGGGUAAAGGCCUACCAAGGCGACGAUCCGUAACUGGUCUGAGAGGAUGAUCAGUCACACUGGAUCUGAGACACGGUCCAGACUCCUACGGGAGGCAGCAGUGGGGAAUAUUGGACAAUGGGCGAAAGCCUGAUCCAGCCAUGCCGCGUGUGUGAAGAAGGUCUUCGGAUUGUAAAGCACUUUAAGUUGGGAGGAAGGGCAGUAAGUUAAUACCUUGCUGUUUUGACGUUACCAACAGAAUAAGCACCGGCUAACUUCGUG